AACGAACGCUGGCGGCAGGCCUAACACAUGCAAGUCGAGCGCCCCGCAAGGGGAGCGGCGGACGGGUGAGUAACGCGUGGGAACGUACCCUUUGCUACGGAAUAGCCUCGGGAAACUGGGAGUAAUACCGUAUGUGCCCUUCGGGGGAAAGAUUUAUCGGCAAAGGAUCGGCCCGCGUUGGAUUAGGUAGUUGGUGGGGUAAUGGCCUACCAAGCCGACGAUCCAUAGCUGGUUUGAGAGGAUGAUCAGCCACACUGGGACUGAGACACGGCCCAGACUCCUACGGGAGGCAGCAGUGGGGAAUCUUAGACAAUGGGCGCAAGCCUGAUCUAGCCAUGCCGCGUGAGCGAUGAAGGCCUUAGGGUUGUAAAGCUCUGUCCUUGGGGAAGAAGGUCUUCGGACUUGACGGUACCCAAGAAGAAAGCCCCGGCUAACUACGUG
RNAcentral lists this ribosomal RNA (441 nucleotides) under uncultured bacterium. RNAcentral describes it as "bacterial SSU rRNA". It matches the Rfam family "Bacterial small subunit ribosomal RNA", at positions 29 to 507 of the family's 1533-position model. The record is from RNAcentral.